UACGUAGGGGGCUAGCGUUGUCCGGAAUCAUUGGGCGUAAAGAGCUCGUAGGCGGCCAGUUGCGUCUGCUGUGAAAUCCCGGGGCUCAACCCCGGGCGUGCAGUGGAUACGGGCUGGCUAGAGGCAGGCAGGGGAGAACGGAAUUCCCGGUGUAGCGGUGAAAUGCGCAGAUAUCGGGAGGAACACCGGUGGCGAAGGCGGUUCUCUGGGCCUGUACUGACGCUGAGGAGCGAAAGCGUGGGGAGCGAACAGG
Molecule: ribosomal RNA, 253 nt
Filed under: uncultured bacterium
Lineage: Bacteria
Description: partial 16S ribosomal RNA
Rfam family: Bacterial small subunit ribosomal RNA
Source: RNAcentral